This 486-nucleotide long non-coding RNA is filed under the name Helianthus annuus (common sunflower). Its description in RNAcentral is "hypothetical non coding rna". The record is from RNAcentral. Lineage: Eukaryota; Viridiplantae; Streptophyta; Magnoliopsida; Asterales; Asteraceae.
UUUAAAAUUCAUCAUCUUCUCCAUUAUGCUCAGCAGCUACCGCCAACCCUCCAAAUCUGGUGCUCUGGUUAACGUCUUUAGUGCCGGUAGCAGUGCUAUUGCCGGUGGUGGAACUUUUCUCCUUCCCUAGACCCGUAGCUUUGGUGACCUUCUUAUGACCAUCGGACCGCCACUCAGGGUAUCCAUCCGACAAGUCGGAAGCAUUGGUCCUUGAUAUGUUUUGUCAUACUACAGUGUUCGCACUUUAAGAGAGGUUGGAAAGUUGUAAGGUGAGGUCAUCACCCGAGUUACCUUCGUUGGUCAUGGUGGUAAGCUCUUGAACGUUGGAGAAACUAUGCAUGGAUAUACAUGAGAAUCUUUAGCCUCAAUCAAGAAGGUUAUUUAUUAUUGUUAUUAUUAGUUUAUGAAAAUACUAAUUGGGAAAACAAUCUAGAAAUAUAAGAUAAUAAUAUUGAUGUUACGUUGAAUUAUAGGUGUUUCUAUAUU